Molecule: ribosomal RNA, 497 nt
Filed under: uncultured bacterium
Lineage: Bacteria
Description: partial 16S ribosomal RNA
Rfam family: Bacterial small subunit ribosomal RNA
Source: RNAcentral
GAUGAACGCUGGCGGCGUGCCUAAUACAUGCAAGUCGAGCGAACAGACGAGGAGCUUGCUCCUCUGACGUUAGCGGCGGACGGGUGAUUAACACGUGGAUAACCUACCUAUAAGACUGGGAUAACUUCGGGAAACCGGAGCUAAUACCGGAUAAUAUAUUGAACCGCAUGGUUCAAUAGUGAAAGACGGUUUUGCUGUCACUUAUAGAUGGAUCCGCGCCGCAUUAGCUAGUUGGUAAGGUAACGGCUUACCAAGGCAACGAUGCGUAGCCGACCUGAGAGGGUGAUCGGCCACCCUGGAACUGAGACACGGUCCAGACUCCUACGGGAGGCAGCAGUAGGGAAUCUUCCGCAAUGGGCGAAAGCCUGACGGAGCAACGCCGCGUGAGUGAUGAAGGUCUUCGGAUCGUAAAACUCUGUUAUUAGGGAAGAACAAAUGUGUAAGUAACUAUGCACGUAUUGACGGUACCUAAUCAGAAAGCCACGGCUAACUACGUG